AUUGAACGCUGGCGGCAGGCCUAACACAUGCAAGUCGAGCGGAUGAAGGGAGCUUGCUCCUGGAUUCAGCGGCGGACGGGUGAGUAAUGCCUAGGAAUCUGCCUGGUAGUGGGGGAUAACGUCCGGAAACGGGCGCUAAUACCGCAUACGUCCUGAGGGAGAAAGUGGGGGAUCUUCGGACCUCACGCUAUCAGAUGAGCCUAGGUCGGAUUAGCUAGUUGGUGGGGUAAAGGCCUACCAAGGCGACGAUCCGUAACUGGUCUGAGAGGAUGAUCAGUCACACUGGAACUGAGACACGGUCCAGACUCCUACGGGAGGCAGCAGUGGGGAAUAUUGGACCAAGGGCGAAAGCCUGAUCCAGCCCUGCCGCGUGUGUGAAGAAGGUCUUCGGAUUGUAAAGCACUUUAAGUUGGGAGGAAGGGCAGUAAGUUAAUACCUUGCUGUUUUGACGUUACCAACAGAAUAAGCACCGGCUAACUUCGUG
This 484-nucleotide ribosomal RNA is filed under the name uncultured bacterium. Its description in RNAcentral is "partial 16S ribosomal RNA". It matches the Rfam family "Bacterial small subunit ribosomal RNA", at positions 30 to 507 of the family's 1533-position model. The record is from RNAcentral.